RNAcentral lists this long non-coding RNA (680 nucleotides) under Homo sapiens (human). Its description in RNAcentral is "HSALNT0281661". The record is from RNAcentral. Lineage: Eukaryota; Metazoa; Chordata; Mammalia; Primates; Hominidae.
GGGGGUUCCCCUUGCAGAGCUGCCUAGAACAGCAAUGUGUUAGGAGACGCCUCCGAAGAGCCUCCUCCUCCUCAGCUGGCAAGAAACGCAGACUCUCGGCAGUGCCAUUCUUGCAGCAGAAAGGCCCUGUGUGACUCCAGCACUCGGAGCAGCCGCCUUAUCUGGGGUGAUUUCCCAUCUGCCUCCCUGGGCCCAGGAUUUCCUUCCUGCACAGAACUUAUCUUGUCGGGAAGCAGAGCUGUGCGCUAGAGGCAGGCCCAGCAAAUGGAAUGCUCGUUCGGUCUUGUGUUCUUAAUGACCCAUAACAGAGUCCUCAGAGGUGAAAAACAAAACCCUCCACCCCCUUAACCAUUUCUGUGCCCAUCCUGGUCUGGGAGAUUUCUUAAUCCUGCUGCGCCGUCACACGGACUCCUCUCUGGAUUUUAUCCUGCGGCCGCCGGGUCCAACUCAGCCGCACCGGGACUGGGGUGGGGAGGCGGAGCCCUGCAAGGGCUUGAAGUAGGGACUGCAAACCCCUGAAAGAGUGGGCAAAAUUCUGGGUAGAUGCAUUUUUCCGAGGGGAGAGUUCUUAAAGGGAUCUGAGACAGUCCCAAAGGUUAAGAACCACCUGCCAUCCCUUUGACCUUGUUGAAGUUUGAUCUCGGAGCCUAGCUUCAUUAUCAGAAAGAACGAGAAUACCC